GCUUGACCUCGGAUCAGGUAGGGAUA
RNAcentral lists this ribosomal RNA (26 nucleotides) under Asteromassaria olivaceohirta. RNAcentral's name for it is "partial 28S ribosomal RNA". Lineage: Eukaryota; Fungi; Ascomycota; Dothideomycetes; Pleosporales; Pleomassariaceae. The record is from RNAcentral.